GCCCCAGUCUCUGGUUUCCGACCCGCUUCUAGCUCAGGAACGCUGGCUUUCAUUUCUCAUGGAGAAAUUUUAUGGGGGCUGUUUGGUCAGGAAUAUUUGCAGAAUUUUCAGGUCUCUUUUUAUCUUUCAGAUAUGCAAGACCAUCGUGUAAAUAACAAUGCUGGCUCCUUUCUGAAGAAAUACAGGUCUUGCAUUGUAGCACAUAAAUCGACCGUGUCUGCAGGUGGACCAGGCAGGUGUAGAAGUCCUUUUGCUGCUAACACAUCUCUGGCUUGUCCGAAGCAUGCCCUGGCUUGGCGGGAGCGAGGCUUUCAGGACGCCCCGGUUUUGUCCCACAGUCUGAAAUCGUGCCCUGAGCACCAGCCACCCAAAGGCCCGUGCUAAGGGAGCUGGCGUUUUUUGGCUGGAUAUUUGGAGGACACACGUUCCGGGUGCAGUUGGUGACAUCUUGCUGGGACCCGCGGUGCAGCGAAUCGUGUUGCAGCCUCUCGAACACCCACACACCGUCAUCGACGGGGUCUGGCACGGGAAAAUUAAGUGGUAGCGAAAGGAGCAACCAAGAUCUUAUAUAAUGGGGGAAUGGCCAUGCCCGUGCAGGUGUGAAGAAAUGGAGCUGCGAAGGGGCAACGGCUCGUCUAGAAGUCAGUGCCCUCAGCAGCGCCUGCCAAGCUGGACACACAACGUUUUUGAGAAGCGUCCUGCUCUUGUAACUGGGGAACUGCUGCUCAUAACCUGCCGCAGCCAAACCCCAGCGAGACCGCUCGCUGGGCUAGGGAGUAUUCGUGAGAGGGAGGAUUGCAAAACCCGCUCCUGCCUGGUGCCCUUCCUCCCCCUCCUCUUCUGCCCUCGCGCUGCUGCGGG
Long non-coding RNA from Dromaius novaehollandiae (emu), 861 nucleotides. RefSeq lists it as uncharacterized. The transcript is spliced from 3 exons. The record is from RefSeq and is a predicted model, not a curated record. Lineage: Eukaryota; Metazoa; Chordata; Aves; Casuariiformes; Dromaiidae.